Molecule: long non-coding RNA, 1813 nt
Organism: Dermochelys coriacea (leatherback sea turtle)
Lineage: Eukaryota; Metazoa; Chordata; Testudines; Dermochelyidae
Exons: 2
Source: RefSeq, a predicted model, not a curated record
GAGACAACAGAGACUGUGCAAGGAAGGAUAACUUCUUCUCACCUCCCUCGCUGGCUUAUGAUGAAAAUGGCUCAGUAGACUGUGACCCUUGUCUCUAGAGAACGAAGGGUUACGUGGAGGAUCAUAGGGAGCCUCUGAGGCUUGCGAAAUCUGCCAGGAAAUGCGGGACCCACGGAGGCAAGGACAGAGCUUUGUCACACUACUUAAAAAAACCUGCUCCCUAAAGAAAAAUAAAACCCACUUGGCUAGUUCUCACUAGGGAAUGGGAGCAGUAUUAAGUCUGAACAUUUUAAAAACUAAAUCAAGAAGUUAUAGGUGUGUAAACGUUCACUUUUCCACAUGCACAGUAUGAAAUUUCUGUUAGAGUUUGAACUGUAUAAUGUGUAAAGCACUACUGAGUUACACCAAUCACAACUGCAUAACUCCAUAGUCAACUGUUCUGUCUUCUGCUAUCUUACUUUUUUAAAGAGGAAAUUAAAAGUCAAAAUCUAUUCUAAUAAAACAUCAAGUUGAAAAUUUGAAAUAUAUAUAUAUAAAAGUCAGGAAUCACAUUAAAGGUUCUUACAUAAUCUUCAGUUAACAUUAAUUGUCCCCACAUUUGUUUCAAUUAGUAGUUAGACAGUUACAUUCACCAUAGCCUGAGUGUGUAUAAUCCAGGCAAGAAAACCUUAAUGUUUUCACUUAUUAAUUUUAUGGUUUAAACUCACAAUCCUAGUCUUCCUUUGCACAUGCAGGGUAUUAGUCCUGUGACUCCAUAGUUAAGUUUGCCGGUGACAUUCCAGCCCACAUCUUUAUUUCCAGCCAUUUAUUGCUUUCUCCAAGAAAUUCCCUUUCAGUCUGAAUUUUCUCAUGCUUAGUCUCAGCCCAAAGGGAAAUAUAUUUUUAAAAGAUCAGGCCAAUCAUUUUUGAUUUAUGGGGCUGUGAAAUAUUUACAAUUUAUUGCCUUUUUUAAAGUCCCAAUUUUCUUUUGACCUCUCAUAACUCAAUUAUGACAUGCAAUGAAGGGAUCAUACAUGCAUGACUAAAAAACAAAAAUCUUUCUUGAAUUCCGCAACUUUCUUAUAGUUCACACUGAUGGAGAGUGGACCCUAGGUGUCUUAUGGGCUAUAAUUCAAGCCCUGUAUCUAACUACCAUCUUCUGACAUUAACUAGAGCAUACAUGAAGUGGGGAAGAUGUGCACACUUUAUCAAACGCACACCAGCCAGUGCAGUGAUGAAACACAUAGGAAAUACACAGGAUUAUCUCUUCAGCCAGCACCAUGCCAGCGACAAUCCUCUUCCAGCCUCCACCUUUUCCAUAGGCCAAUUGCCCUAACACAGGGGUAGGCAAACUAUGGCACGCGUGCCAAAGGCGGCAUGUGAUCUGACUGUCGGGGCAUUCACACUGCCUGGGUCCUGGCCACCGGUCCGGGGGUCUCUGCAUUUUAAUUUAAUUUUAAAUGAAGUUUCUUGAACAUUUUAGAAACCUUAUUUACUUUACAUACAACAUUAGUUUAGUUAUAUAUUAUAGACUUAUAGAAAGAGACCUUCUAAAAAUGUUAAAAUGUAUCACUGGCACGCAAAACCUUAAACUAGAAUAAAUGAAGGCUUGGCACACCACUUCUGAAAGGUUGCCAACCCCUGCAACCUUUGGAACAUAUGGAAAUGUAUUUUAAUUUGUGAUUGUGUCUCACAAUGAAACAUAUGCACUCGUGUAAUUUAGGGCACUUGGCAAUAGGGAGGGAGAGUCACUCAUCAGGUUGGACCAGAUGACCUCCUGAGGUCCCUUCCAACCCUGUUAUUCUAUGAUCAGGAGAUGAUGGCACUUUUUUUU